AGUUUGAUCCUGGCUCAGGACGAACGCUGGCGGCGCGCCUAACACAUGCAAGUCGAACGGAGCUGAGAGAAGCUUGCUUUUCUUAGCUUAGUGGCGAACGGGUGAGUAACGCGUGAGUAACCUGCCCUUGAGUGGGGGGCACACCAUUUGGAAAACCGCUUGUUUAAUCCCCCAUAAAGCCCCCCGGGUCUGCCAUGCCCCUCGGGGAAAAAAGAUUUUUUUCGCUUUUAGGAGAGGACUCCGGUUCCAAUUAGGUUAGUUGGGUGAGGUAACGGCCCCACCAAGGCGGACGAUUUGGUACCCGGACUUGAGAGGUUGAACGGCCCACAUUGGGACUGAGACACGGCCCAAGAUUCCUACGGGAGGCAGCAGUGGGGGAUAUUGCACAAUGGGGGAAACCCUGAUGCAGCGACGCCGCGUGGAGGAAGAAGGUUUUCGGAUUGUAAACUCCUGUCGUUAGGGACGAUAAUGACGGUACCUAACAAGAAAGCACCGGCUAACUACGUGCCAGCAGCCGCGGUAAAACGUAGGGUGCAAGCGUUGUCCGGAAUUACUGGGUGUAAAGGGAGCGCAGGCGGACCGGCAAGUUGGAAGUGAAAUCCAUGGGCUCAACCCGUGAAUUGCUUUCAAAACUGCUGGCCUUGAGUAGUGCAGAGGUAGGUGGAAUUCCCGGUGUAGCGGUGGAAUGCGUAGAUAUCGGGAGGAACACCAGUGGCGAAGGCGACCUACUGGGCACCAACUGACGCUGAGGCUCGAAAGCAUGGGUAGCAAACAGGAUUAGAUACCCUGGUAGUCCAUGCCGUAAACGAUGAUUACUAGGUGUUGGAGGAUUGACCCCUUCAGUGCCGCAGUUAACACAAUAAGUAAUCCACCUGGGGAGUACGACCGCAAGGUUGAAACUCAAAGGAAUUGACGGGGGCCCGCACAAGCAGUGGAGUAUGUGGUUUAAUUCGAAGCAACGCGAAGAACCUUACCAGGUCUUGACAUCCGAUGCAUAGUGCAGAGAUGCAUGAAGUCCUUCGGGACAUCGAGACAGGUGGUGCAUGGUUGUCGUCAGCUCGUGUCGUGAGAUGUUGGGUUAAGUCCCGCAACGAGCGCAACCCUUAUUGCCAGUUACUACGAAAGAGGACUCUGGCGAGACUGCCGUUGACAAAACGGAGGAAGGUGGGGAUGACGUCAAAUCAUCAUGCCCUUUAUGACCUGGGCUACACACGUACUACAAUGGCGUUUAACAAAGAGAAGCAAGACCGCGAGGUGGAGCAAAACUCAGAAACAACGUCUCAGUUCAGAUUGCAGGCUGCAACUCGCCUGCAUGAAGUCGGAAUUGCUAGUAAUCGCGGAUCAGCAUGCCGCGGUGAAUACGUUCUCGGGCCUUGUACACACCGCCCGUC
Molecule: ribosomal RNA, 1391 nt
Filed under: uncultured bacterium
Lineage: Bacteria
Description: bacterial SSU rRNA
Rfam family: Bacterial small subunit ribosomal RNA
Source: RNAcentral